GACUGUGUGGCCUAGCGGUCAAGGCGUCCGUCUUACUUUCACUUCUAUUCAAGAAGAUUUACUUUGGGCACGGAAGAUCACAGGUUCGAUCCCUGUCAUGGUCA
Non-coding RNA from Diaporthe citri, 104 nucleotides. The record is from the annotation of a RefSeq genome assembly. NCBI's taxonomy places the organism in Eukaryota, Fungi, Ascomycota, Sordariomycetes, Diaporthales, Diaporthaceae.